This is a long non-coding RNA of Anopheles nili, 1316 nucleotides long. RefSeq lists it as uncharacterized. NCBI's taxonomy places the organism in Eukaryota, Metazoa, Arthropoda, Insecta, Diptera, Culicidae. The transcript is spliced from 3 exons. The record is from RefSeq and is a predicted model, not a curated record.
AAACGGGCUUGCCGCGGGCCGCGGCCAGUCGAGGCCAUCAGAGGCCGUGGGUCUCGAGCUGCGGCUUCUGAAACGUGCGUGAUGAUCGUGGCGAUCUGUCUGCGUGGCGAUCCGUUCGAAUUUCUGGAUGGCAGACCAGCGUUUUUGGUUGGGAUUCGUGUUCCUUGGGCCGUUUUUUAAAGGGUGUGUGAUGGAAAAAAAGAAGCUUAUGAUCCCUAUCCUGUGGCACACGAUCGCGAUCGUGGAGAACAAAUUCCGACACCAUCGGGGUUGAUCUUCGCUUUCACACGCAAAAUUUUCCUUCCAAACUCAAGCUGGUGCAUUCUGUGAUGCAAUUUUGAGAUCGUUUUGGAGCCAAAAGCACACACAACACGGCCACCGGCCACUAGAACAAAAACGAUCGCCUGAACAAACACCCACCCGAGGUUUCCAACGGUACACUGCGCACUAUUUGAUCCACCGAGGGCCACAGGAAACCCACCCCUAUUUGUGGAGGGUUGGGGUUUUGCUGCAGGACGCGCGGCAAAGGUUAAUAAAAAUGACACUUGUCGGGGUUUUUCGGAGGCGGGAGGGCACCGGCGGAAUGGUAUGGCGAGAGUACGCCAUCUGUCCCCGCCUUCAUUCACCCUCACGAUCACGGGCUCUUAUUACGGACACCGCAACCACGUGCCCUCCAUUCCUGUGACCCCGCGAUCCUCGCCGACGCCAUUGUUCGUGCUCAUCUCUCGCACCGUCUGUCCCUUUUGUGCACGUUCGUGUUGACCCCCCUGAUCAGACCAGGCAAUGGACCAUUAUCUCCGUGGCUACUUGGAACGUCUCGAUGAUGCUGCUGUUGCUGUGAUGAUGCCUGAUGUGAUCUUGCAGCAAAGGCACCCAGUUUUCCUUCCAACAACCACCGACAGCUGGGGAGUUGCAGCAGCAACCAGACGAGAGGACUUCACGCUCCGGUGUUUUGAUUGUAAAAAGAAUGACGCACACACGCACACACACACACGCUUGCCACCAAAUUGGGGGCAAUCUCCGGAGCUGACCCCAGCUGAAGAGCGAGUACGAUCGAUUGGCUGCGUUCCGCAACACCCAAGCAAAGUUAGCUAAGCCUCCAAACGCAACUUCACAAACGGACACGAUCAACACUCGCGUUGUUGUACGCGGGCUUUUGUUGACGCUCCGUCGCAGCACAUCUUUAUCACGUUCGCGCGCCUUUAGGUUCAUGUAACGGGGCUUAGCGUGGAAAUUGGCGUGGCGCAGGAAACAAAAACCAAAACACUACACCACUGCAGCGAGAGGAACAAAAACAACAACAAAAACACACACGC